Pipra filicauda (Wire-tailed manakin) is the source of this 1753-nucleotide long non-coding RNA. RefSeq lists it as uncharacterized. The record is from RefSeq and is a predicted model, not a curated record. The transcript is spliced from 5 exons. NCBI's taxonomy places the organism in Eukaryota, Metazoa, Chordata, Aves, Passeriformes, Pipridae.
CUUUUCCCGCCGAAAAGGAGGAGAGGUGGGGGUGAGGGCAAGAUGGCGGCGGAGCCCACCCGUGAGGGGAGAGGGGGCUCCCGCCUCACGCAGCUGCCUCAGGGCGCCAUGGCCCCCUCCUGUGCGCUCAUGUGUACUCCUGUGUGCUCCCUGGUGCUCCUGUAAUAUAUGUACUCCUCUGUAUACUCCUGUGCACAGCAAACUGAGACUGUGUACUCCAGUGGACUCCUGUGCACUCAUGUGUGCUCCUGUGUACUCCUGUAAUAUGUCUUCCUGUGUACUCCACCACAAACUGUGACAGCUUCAACCCACAGCCCUCUUCCCUCACUCUUGAGCCACUUGAGCUCCCCUUGAGCCACUUCCUGAGGCGCAAAGGAUUGCAGUUCUCUGGCCCCCGUUACCCACAGUGAGCCCCGGGAGUUUUUAUUGUACUGUUGCAAAAUGUAGAAGAAAUUCUUUGCGGGGAGAGUCAUCAGACAUUGCAAUGGGCUGCCCAUCUAGAUGGAGGAUUCACCAUCCCUCGACUUGUUUAAGAGGCUGGAUGUGGCACUCAGAGCUAUGGUCUAGUAGUUGUCACUGAUUGAGGUUGAAUAGAUGUGAGUUUGCCAGAUUGUGUCAAGUGUGCUGGGAAUAUUUAGAUAACAAAGAUCACACUUUGUGGAAAGUGCACUUUAUUUUAGGGAGAUUGGAGGUGGAUCUGCCUAGACAGAGCUGCAACAGUGGAGGGGACACGGAUGGUGUAGAAUCCCUCGUCCUCUUUGUGGGCACACGGCACCGUCAGAGAAGCCUCCCGGUCCUGGUACUUCAGCUCCUGACGUUGGGAAUUCUGCAGCAACUCACCUGUGGAGCAUGAGAAGGGGGACAGGAACUUCACCUGGAGUGGCUGGUUAGGAGUGGCAUAAAAAAAAAAGCAGCAAAACCCACAAAAGAGCAAGAUGAGAGUCUGUAAGACAUUCCUGAUGUUAUUGUUGUGCCUCCAAGUUAUAGCCAUGGACUGCUCCAACUUUGCUGCAUUGUUCCUGCUUUCCAAAAAGCAGAUAAAGAUCACCAGUGUGGCCAAGAUGGAAAUCCCUGAUUGCCAGCUGAGUAUAACGAAAGUUUUUUCCACUUGGUGCUUUCUCUGGAUAGGACUAAGGCUUUUAAGUUAUUCCCGUGGGCAGGAAUGUCCUUACCUCUGAAACAUUUUAGUGGUAUCAGCCUUUACAAGUGGGGAAAACACAGAAAUUAAAUAGUGGCAUCUGUAUCUUGAGGAGAGCUGAGAGCAGCUCAGGAAUCCUGAAUUUUGAUUCUUUUCUGUGAACAUUCAAUCACAGCUAUAAAUUCCAAGGGUACAUUCUUAGAGGUAAAGACAUAUAAACUUAGGUGUUGUCUACAAACCAUCUCUGAACCAGGUGAUGUCUCGUUGGUGGUCAAGUAAAUCAGAAGAGAAGUAACAGGAGAGGGUGAAAGGCUCCUUUUCUCUUGAAAAUAAGGGUUUCAUUGGAAAAGCAAAAUCUGCCUCUCUGGCCAUAAGGGAUCCUGUGGAAUAAGAGUAAAAGUCAGCAAGAUAAAGAGGCCUCCAGAGCUUUCCUCCCUGUAGUGUUUUUAUUGUCAUACAUUUAGAGUGGUACCUGAGCUUGCACUUUGCACAUGCAGUCAGGCUAAUGGGAAAAGCUCUGGCUCAGGAAAAAAAAAGAAUCAAGUUGCUUCAGGCUAUAAAAAUAAAUAACAAUAACAUCAAUGAUUUACUCACUUUUGUAUAUUUCUGAAUCAA